AUUGAACGCUGGCGGCAUGCCUUACACAUGCAAGUCGAACGGCAGCACGGGAGCAAUCCUGGUGGCGAGUGGCGAACGGGUGAGUAAUAUAUCGGAACGUGCCCGGUCGUGGGGAUAACGUAGCGAAAGCUACGCUAAUACCGCAUACGAUCUACGGAUGAAAGCGGGGGAUCGCAAGACCUCGCGCGAUUGGAGCGGCCGAUAUCAGAUUAGGUAGUUGGUGAGGUAAAGGCUCACCAAGCCGACGAUCUGUAGCUGGUCUGAGAGGACGACCAGCCACACUGGGACUGAGACACGGCCCAGACUCCCUACGGGAGGCAGCAGUGGGGAAUUUGGACAAUGGGCGCAAGCCUGAUCCAGCAAUGCCGCGUGCAGGAUGAAGGCC
This 385-nucleotide ribosomal RNA is filed under the name uncultured bacterium. RNAcentral's name for it is "bacterial SSU rRNA". It matches the Rfam family "Bacterial small subunit ribosomal RNA", at positions 29 to 416 of the family's 1533-position model. The record is from RNAcentral.